GGCGCUAUAGCCAAGUGGUUAAGGCGAUGCACUCGAAUUGCUUCCGAGCGAGUUGAUAUGCAUUCCUCUUUGAGGGCGCAGGUUCAAAUCCUGCUGGCGUCG
This 102-nucleotide transfer RNA is filed under the name Ephemerocybe angulata. RNAcentral describes it as "Coprinellus angulatus tRNA". It matches the Rfam family "tRNA". From Rfam's summary of the family: Transfer RNA (tRNA) molecules are approximately 80 nucleotides in length. The record is from Rfam by way of RNAcentral. Lineage: Eukaryota; Fungi; Basidiomycota; Agaricomycetes; Agaricales; Psathyrellaceae.